ACAAAAAAGGAAACGACCAGAUCAUAACAAAGUACUCUGUCCAAAAACAAAAUACAGAAAUGAAAAACCAAAGAAAGGAAAAAAGAUUGGUGGUCUUCAAGCUUGAGCUUCCAUGGAGAAAGAAAACAAGGUGUUGCCUUGGAGUGAAAUCGAGUCAUCACCUGCUGCAACCAGCUGUUUUCGGUUCGUUUCCAUCACACUGAAUCCACACAGAUCAAACAACUUAUGAGAAUGGUACUACUUUUGUACCACUGAGUAAAUCAAACUUAAAGGUUGACAAUGGCGGAACUGAUAUGCCGGAUCUCUGAAUCACAGUCCAGUUCAUCUCGUCUCCUCUCUGAAAGUCCUUGAGAAUACUCGAAUUGGAUUGAAGUUAGAUUCGUAUUUUUGUACUGAGAAACACAUUUGUCGAAUUAAUAUCUGUUUCGUUGUAAUGGAACUAUUCAUUCAUACAAGUAAACUCAAAACAGAGUCUUGCUAUUGAUUCUGUUAAAAUUUUA
This is a long non-coding RNA of Solanum pennellii, 500 nucleotides long. RefSeq lists it as uncharacterized. The record is from RefSeq and is a predicted model, not a curated record. Lineage: Eukaryota; Viridiplantae; Streptophyta; Magnoliopsida; Solanales; Solanaceae. The transcript has 2 exons.